UGGUGUGUAAUCUGUUAUGCUCCUAGAUUUUUCUUCCUAUUUAAAAGAGACGUUUGAGGUAAUUCCAGCUGAAAAAGUUUCAGUUACUUGCUUGGUCAUAUUGUCCUUUGAAUAUUCAAAGCUGAAGCAAAAGCAUGGGGACUGUUGCUUCUAGUAACACCCCACUUCUCUUGUCUGCACUCUGCAUGCUGUUGAGCUAAACCAGAUUAAAAAAAAAAAAAAAAAAAAAAAAAAAAAAAAGCACAGCUGCUGCUUGUCCUGUUCUCUUUCUACUUUCUUGUGCUUUGCCCCUCCCCUUUUCCAGGUGAUUGGGUUUGGGUGCCAGGCAGGGCCAAAUGGUAUAUGAGCCCCAGGCAUGCCUUCAGAGAGCUCAUUCUGCCUGGGCUGCUGUUUGGGCUGUAUCAAACCACUUGUGUAACUCUGCAGAGGACUGAAAAGAGCUUGAGUACACGCUGCAAGAGGCUUGUCCACA
This is a long non-coding RNA of Oxyura jamaicensis (ruddy duck), 472 nucleotides long. RefSeq lists it as uncharacterized. Lineage: Eukaryota; Metazoa; Chordata; Aves; Anseriformes; Anatidae. The transcript is spliced from 2 exons. The record is from RefSeq and is a predicted model, not a curated record.